GACGAACGCUGGCGGCGCGUCUUAAGCAUGCAAGUCGAACGGUAAGGGAGAGCUUGCUCUCCCCUAGAGUGGCGGACUGGUGAGUAACGCGUGGGUGACCUGCCCUGAAGAUGGGGAUAGCUAGUAGAAAUAUUAGAUAAUACCGAAUGUGCUCAUUUACAUAAAGGUAAAUGAGGAAAGGAGCUACGGCUCCGCUUCAGGAUGGGCCCGCGUCCCAUUAGCUGGUUGGUGAGGUAAAGGCCCACCAAGGCAACGAUGGGUAUCCGGCCUGAGAGGGUGAACGGACACAUUGGGACUGAGAUACGGCCCAAACUCCUACGGGAGGCAGCAGCUAAGAAUCUUCCGCAAUGGACGAAAGUCUGACGGAGCGACGCCGUGUGAAUGAAGAAGGCCGAAAGGUUGUAAAAUUCUUUUGCAGAUGAAGAAUAAGAAGAAGAGGGAAUGCUUCUUUGAUGACGGUAGUCAUGCGAAUAAGCCCCGGCUAAUUACGUGCCAGCAGCCGCGGUAACACGUAAGGGGCGAGCGUUGUUCGGAAUUAUUGGGCGUAAAGGGUAUGUAGGCGGUUAGGUAAGCCUGGUGUGAAAUCUACGAGCUCAACUCGUAAACUGCAUUGGGUACUGCUUGACUUGAAUCACGGAGGGGAAACCGGAAUUCCAAGUGUAGGGGUGGAAUCUGUAGAUAUUUGGAAGAACACCGGUGGCGAAGGCGGGUUUCUGGCCGAUGAUUGACGCUGAUAUACGAAGGUGCGGGGAGCAAACAGG
This 761-nucleotide ribosomal RNA is filed under the name uncultured Treponema sp. Its description in RNAcentral is "bacterial SSU rRNA". It matches the Rfam family "Bacterial small subunit ribosomal RNA", at positions 28 to 776 of the family's 1533-position model. Lineage: Bacteria; Pseudomonadati; Spirochaetota; Spirochaetia; Treponematales; Treponemataceae. The record is from RNAcentral.